This is a small nucleolar RNA of Dipodomys ordii (Ord's kangaroo rat), 134 nucleotides long. NCBI's taxonomy places the organism in Eukaryota, Metazoa, Chordata, Mammalia, Rodentia, Heteromyidae. The record is from Ensembl.
AGCCUCAUUCCAGAUGAGGAUGGGCACUGUUGAUCAGGGUCCAGAAUUGGUCACUGAGGCUAAAACUGAGACACAGGUUGCGCUUCUAGCACAGUAAAUGUGCUGCAGUGGUGACUGUGAGACCUGUAACAUCU